This 23-nucleotide microRNA is filed under the name Homo sapiens (human). RNAcentral describes it as "hsa-miR-623". Its record names the gene hsa-miR-623. The record is from miRBase by way of RNAcentral. Lineage: Eukaryota; Metazoa; Chordata; Mammalia; Primates; Hominidae.
AUCCCUUGCAGGGGCUGUUGGGU